AUUGAACGCUGGCGGAAUGCUUUACACAUGCAAGUCGAGCGGCAGCGCGGCCUUCGGGCUGGCGGCGAGCGGCGAACGGGUGAGUAAUGCAUCGGAACAUGCCCAGUCGUGGGGGAUAACACCUCGAAAGAAGUGCUAAUACCGCAUACGUCCUGAGGGGGAAAGCGGGGGAGCGCAAGACCUCGCGCGAUUGGAGUGGCCGAUGUCAGAUUAGCUAGUUGGUGGGGUAAAGGCCUACCAAGGCGACGAUCUGUAGCUGGUCUGAGAGGAUGAUCAGCCACACUGGGACUGAGACACGGCCCAGACUCCUACGGGAGGCAGCAGUGGGGAAUUUUGGACAAUGGGGGCAACCCUGAUCCAGCCAUUCCGCGUGAGUGAAGAAGGCCUUCGGGUUGUAAAGCUCUUUCGGCAGGAACGAAACGGUGGGCUCUAACAUAGUCCGCUAAUGACGGUACCUGAAGAAGAAGCACCGGCUAACUACGUG
Molecule: ribosomal RNA, 484 nt
Filed under: uncultured bacterium
Lineage: Bacteria
Description: partial 16S ribosomal RNA
Rfam family: Bacterial small subunit ribosomal RNA
Source: RNAcentral